Ictalurus punctatus (channel catfish) is the source of this 3170-nucleotide long non-coding RNA. The record is from Ensembl. Lineage: Eukaryota; Metazoa; Chordata; Actinopteri; Siluriformes; Ictaluridae.
AGGUCCGGGGAUUAUUCUUAUGCAAUGUUUAUUCAGGAAUAAUGUUAUAAAAUACAUUUCAAAUAGGAUGAACAGAAAUUCAGCACACUGAGUGUAUCAUGUAAAAUAGGAUUAAAUCAAUCAACUCAAAAAUCACACCAUUAAAAUCAAACACCAUGGAAAAGAAAAAACAAUGAAAUCUCUUUAGCUUGCUCUGGCCUCCAUAAGAAGUUAUAUAGGGACAAAUUGUAUUUAAACAUAUUUCUUUUCCUUUUUUCAAUUUAUAUAUUUUCAGAAAAUAGGCACACUGUUUUAUUUUCUUUUUUGACUUUGACCAGUUUUGAAAAAUGAACAAUUCACAGUGUCAUUUACAUUUCUUGUCAAACACUUUCUCUUUCUGAGGCUUUUUAUUGGACAGUAUAGAGUAGGAGUAACCUGCUCUGAAUCAUGGUCUAUAAAUGUACACCUCCUGGGUGAAGGGCAUUUAAAAAAUCAACCACCUCUACAAUAAAGCGGGUGAAUUAACAACAUCCCUCAAGCCAAAUCAUCCAUCCACAUCAAACUGUGGUGGGAGUAAUUAUAAGGCCUCUUUGGUGUCCUUGAAAGACCUGUUGGAGUGAGUAGAGUUAAAUGUGGAUCUGAGCUCCACUCCCUGUCCAUGUGUCUAACAAUGUUUGGCAUAACAGGAGCUGUUUGUACUGGACUUUUAAUAGAUAAAUGUGAAGGCUUCUUUUAUCCCACACAUUCUGCUCUCCUCCCAGUUCCAUCACAUCACUGUAACAUUGCAUGGCGUGACCAUGCCAUUACGUGACCUGUGACCUAGAUGCAAGACUGGCACACCUCAUAGGGCCAGGUUCGAUCAUUUAAGCAUAUAAGUUAAAGAGAGAGGCCAUGUCAUACACGUGGCACAUCUAUAAGAGUGAGCUAUAAUAUCCUUUAAUGCAUUUCUCAGUCUAAAACACGCACAUCCUAUACAUUCACAAUGCACCCCUUGUGUAUUCAUUUGUGCUAGAUGUAGGUUAUCAUUGUCUGUUGUUAGAACACUUUGCUCAUAUGACCCUAUGGAGCCUGGUGGAGAUGGUGUCAGGUUGGAGCGAUUAGCAGCCAGUAGGUGGCGCUGUACUCCUAAGGCUUGAGUCCUGCCUGCUCCUUGCCCUGAGAGAGCUGUGUUCUGUGACAAUAGGGCUUUUAUGCAGAACAGGCCACUCUCUGCACUGCUCCAGAGUCCUGUUUCUUUUAAUCCCCAUUUGACCUUUGGGCACUGGAGUCACUUUCACGUUUUUCAUGUACCUGAUUUCUGUUACCAAAAGCUGCAGCGAGGAACCUGGACACUGUGACAACCUUUUUUUUUUACAGAGAACGAUUUGAUUUGCUGUGGUGUGUGAGCUCCACUGACAGAGAGCAAUGCACCCUGUCUGGUGUAAUAUUCCAGUGAUCAAUCACUGCUGCAGGUACACCACGCACACACACGCGCACACACACACACACGCACACACAUGCACACGCACGCACACACACACACACACACACACACACACACACAUACACAAAGAAAAUAAAGAAAAAAAAAAGAUUUAUGUACAUAACCUUUUGCAAUGCAAAAUAACUGUUGACAACAUUAACACACAGCUUGCUUAAUCAUUACUGACACAUAUACACAAACUAUUUUUCAUUUAGAAGAAAAAUUGCCACAGAGUUUCUGUAUUCAAUUGUUUGAAAGAUCUGUGAAGCAAUUUGCUUUAGAGCUCAAUCAAAAACUUACCACACACACACACACACACACACACACACACACACACAGUCGAACUGCUUUGAAAACAAACAAGACAUUCAGUUCCACUACAAUCUACCUUUCGUCUGAACAUACAGUUAAACAUUAAAACACACACACACACACACACACACACACACACACACACACACACACACACACAUGUACACAGGCACAAGAAAAAAUGUCCAUGCGUUAAACUCCUGCAGCUCACACAAAACUAUUUUUUAUUUAUUAAUUAAUUAAUGAAAUUUUCAAACACCAUUUAUUAAUGAAUGAAUCAAAUUUUCAAACACCAGAACCUCCAACUCUAUAAACCUACACAUGCUUGAAAUAUUUAGCUAAUUUGAAAUCGUGAGUUCAUUUUUCCAGUGUGUGUACACUUUGUGUGCUACAGCAAUAAUUAUGUUUUAGAUGUUUAUGUUAAUAAAUAUCCUUAACUUCCAGAAAUAACUAGAUAAAUAUUGUUUGUAUACAGUUUGUGCUGUUAAAUCGUUACUUUAAUUUCAUGUCUCACUGUUCCUUUAAAAAAAAAUUAAUUCUGGACUGAACACAAGACACGUCUUCUGUCUAGACUUGGUAUGGAUGAGUGUCUUUACAGGCAGUUGGGGGGGGGGGGGGUAAACCCUUUAGUCUCAUAUGCACACAUUAAAGGCGUGGGAAUUUCAUUCAGGGCUGAACUAGAGUCCUCUUGUGGGGCACAUGGCAAGUGUGUUUAGGUGUAUGUGAGUGUGUGUGUGUCUUUAUGUGACAGUCAUGGAGUGUGUUUUGCAAUUUUGGGAAUAUGCACACAUUUUAACCAGACACACACACAGGUGACAUGUCAUAAUAUUCUACAGAAAUACCCCAGAUAAAUGUAAAAAUUUAAUGGUUCACAAGACACAACAUAAAUCAUAAUGCCAAAAUACAAGAAACACAUUAUAUUUCAUAAUUUCAAUGGGUUAAGGGUUUAACCUCAAGCUUUAAUCAUGUACCAACUGCCCUUUCCGUUUACAUGAUGCCACCUGCAAUGUGUCUUUACCAUACAACAUUUCUGGAACACUCCAUUCACUACAGAAAAAACAGAGUAGAUCGGUAGAUCGGGAAUGGAUGGGUGGGGUGGGUGGGGGGAGUUCACUGCCAACUCAAUAUGGCACUUAUGAGCCAAAACACUUCAAAACCCCCCACUCAGAGUUUAAUCUGUCAUUUGUCCAGCAGUAAACUACCUAUAAUAAAGCAACUCAGGUGAAGCAGACCUGCUGAACUACUUGCCUAUAUAUUUUAAUUUAAUUGCAUUUACAGGGAGAAAUGUUGCCCUCACAACUGCACCACCACCUAUACAUUUUGAACACAAUUUCUGAUUGUUUUGUUGAGUACACAUGUGAAAGAACAAAUGAUUAGAUCUACAAAAGGCACUUUCUGUGUGUGUGUGUGUGUGUGU